Molecule: ribosomal RNA, 301 nt
Filed under: uncultured bacterium
Lineage: Bacteria
Description: partial 16S ribosomal RNA
Rfam family: Bacterial small subunit ribosomal RNA
Source: RNAcentral
CAGUCGCCGCGGGAAUACGUAGGGUGCGAGCGUUAAUCGGAAUUACUGGGCGUAAAGCGUACGCAGGCGGUUCGUUAAGACAGAUGUGAAAUCCCCGGGCUUAACCUGGGAACUGCAUUUGUGACUGGCGAGCUAGAGUAUGGCAGAGGGGGGUAGAAUUCCACGUGUAGCAGUGAAAUGCGUAGAGAUGUGGAGGAAUACCGAUGGCGAAGGCAGCCCCCUGGGCCAAUACUGACGCUCAUGCACGAAAGCGUGGGGAGCAAACAGGAUUAGAUACCCCCGUAGUCCCUGUCUCUUAUAC